Molecule: transfer RNA, 68 nt
Filed under: Lepidophyma flavimaculatum (yellow-spotted night lizard)
Lineage: Eukaryota; Metazoa; Chordata; Lepidosauria; Squamata; Xantusiidae
Description: tRNA-Pro
Source: RNAcentral
CAAAAGGUAGUUUAUAAAAAUGCUAGUUUUGGGGGCUAGCGAUGGGCUGUUUGAUGGCCUCCUUUUGG